GAUGAACGCUGGCGGCGUGCCUAAUACAUGCAAGUCGAGCGAACAGACGAGUAGCUUGCUCCUCUGACGUUAGCGGCGGACGGGUGAGUUACACGUGGAUAUCCUACCUAUAAGACUGUGAUAACUUCGGGAAACCGGAGCUAAUACCGGAUAAUAUCUUGAACCGCAUGGUUCAAUAGUGAAAGACGGUUUUGCUGUCACUUAUAGAUUGAUCCGCGCCGGAUUAGCUAGUUGGUGGGGUAACGGCUUACCAAGGCAACGAUGAGUAGCCGGCCUGAGAGGACGAGCAGCGACACUGGGAAUGAGACAAGGCCGAGACUCCUACGGGAGGCAGCAGUGGGGAAUGUUGGACAAUGGGCGAAAGCCUGAUCAAGCAAUGCCGCGUGUGUGAAGAAGGCCUUCGGGUUGUAAAGCACUUUUGUAAGGAAAGAAAUACUUGGCCCGAAUACGGGCGGGGGAUGACGGUACCGGAAGAAUAAGCAACGGCUAACUACGUG
This 497-nucleotide ribosomal RNA is filed under the name uncultured bacterium. Its description in RNAcentral is "partial 16S ribosomal RNA". It matches the Rfam family "Bacterial small subunit ribosomal RNA", at positions 28 to 507 of the family's 1533-position model. The record is from RNAcentral.